This 346-nucleotide ribosomal RNA is filed under the name uncultured bacterium. RNAcentral's name for it is "bacterial SSU rRNA". It matches the Rfam family "Bacterial small subunit ribosomal RNA", at positions 1 to 334 of the family's 1533-position model. The record is from RNAcentral.
ACGCUGUCUUCAGAGUUUGAUCCUGGCUCAGGAUGAACGCUAGCGAUAGGCUUAACACAUGCAAGUCGAGGGGUAACAUGGGAGUAGCUUGCUACUUCUGAUGACGACCGGCGGAUGGGUGAGUAACGCGUAUGCAACUUGCCUCUUAGUGGGGAAUAACCCGGAGAAAUCCGGACUAAUACCGCAUACACUUAGUUAUCCGCAUGGAUGAUUAAGGAAAGAUUUAUUGCUAAGAGAGAGCUUUGCGUCCCAUUAGCUAGUUGGUGAGGUAACGGCCCACCAAGGCAAUGAUGGGUAGCCGGCCUGAGAGGGUGAACGGCCACAAGGGGACUGAGACACGGCCCUU